Molecule: non-coding RNA, 1816 nt
Organism: Punica granatum (pomegranate)
Lineage: Eukaryota; Viridiplantae; Streptophyta; Magnoliopsida; Myrtales; Lythraceae
Source: RefSeq, a predicted model, not a curated record
AUGGCGGCGCGCGCUGGCGUCGGUCGUCCUCAACGAAAGAGAGGCUUCUCUUCUCCGGGGUUAAAGUCAACGAUAGUCAGUCAGUCUCAGUCAGUACCGACGAAGCUCUCCCAGUGGACAGUCGCCGUGCAGCGAGCUCAAAUUCUGCCAUGGAAGCCCAGAGAUCAAGCUCCUCACUCAUCAUCCUCCACAAUGCUACCAUCGUCACCGUGGACUCGGACAGCCGAGUGUUCCGGAACGGCGGGAUGGCGAUAGAGCACGACAAGAUCAAGGCCAUCGGCCAGUCGGGAGACAUCCUCGCCGAGUUCUCCGGUACAGCGGGAGAAAUCGUUGACCUCCGCGGACAAAUCCUGCUGCCAGGUUUCAUCAACACGCACGUUCAUACCUCUCAGCAGCUGGCAAGAGGCAUCGCCGACGACGUCGACCUGAUGACAUGGCUUCAUCACCGCAUUUGGCCUUACGAGGCGAGCAUGACCGAGGAGGACUCCUACAUCUCCACUUUGCUCUGUGGCGUCGAGCUCAUUCACUCCGGCGUUACUUGUUUCGCUGAAGCUGGAGGGCAGCACGUGCCCGGAAUGGCAAGAGCGGUGGAGCUGCUGGGACUGCGCGCCUGCUUGGCCCAAUCUAUAAUGGAUUCUGGUGACGGUCUGCCAGAACCAUGGGCCAAUCGAACCGCAGAAGAUUGUAUUCAGUUGCAAAAGGAGCUCUACCGGAAGCACCAUGAUACAGCAGAUGGGCGCAUCAGAGUGUGGCUUGGAAUCAGGCAAAUCAUGAAUUCGACUGAUGAUUUACUGCUUAAAACACGGGAUACGGCUAGAGAAUUAGCUACUGUAAUCCACAUGCAUGUUGCAGAGAUACCGUAUGAGAACCAGCUUAUAGUUAAAACACGAAAAGUGGAGCAUGGAACAGUCACACACUUGGAGAAGAUGGAGUUUUUACAGAAUAAUUUGCUAGCUGCUCAUACAGUUUGGGUCGAUAAUGCGGAGAUUGAUUUUCUUUCUCGUGCUGGAGUUAAAGUCUCUCACUGUCCUGCCGCUGCAAUGAGAAUGCUUGGAUUUGCACCAAUCAGAGAAAUGCUUGAUGCCAGCAUCUGUGUCUCACUCGGAACAGAUGGGGCACCAUCAAACAAUAGAAUGAGCAUCGUUGAUGAGAUGUACGUAGCUUCACUAAUAAACAAAGGACGUGAAGUUUAUGCAAAUGGAACAACUGAUCCUACAGCUCUUCCUGCUGAAACAGUACUUAAAAUGGCCACAAUUAAUGGUGCAAAAUCAGUACUGUGGGAUAAGGAAAUAGGAUCACUUGUAGUUGGGAAGAAGGCAGAUUUGGUUGUCAUAAAUCCCCGCACUUGGUCUAUGGUUCCCCUUCACGACAGCAUCUCCAGCCUGGUAUAUUGCAUGCGAACAGAGAACAUCGUCUCUGUCAUGUGCAACGGUCGAUGGAUCAUGAAGGAUAAGAAGAUUUCAACUGUCAAUGUGGUAACUUAAGGAAACUUGUGUUUAUUUCUAUGCCAUCCCCCGCUAGUUACUUUUUCACCAUUUCGAGAAAUGAAGUUUUGUUCAAAUAGACUCAAAGCAUACUAGCCAGAAGGAAGAAAUUCUUUCAUUAGCGAAGGAAGCUUCAACUCAACUACUGAAGAGAGCAGGCAUCCGGAUACCAAAUAGAAUGAACAUGGUAUAGUAAAUUGAGGCUGUUUUUAGACGCUGGUGGUUCAAUAAACAUCUGCAAGUUUUUUGUCAAUUUACUUAUUCUACAGAAGUGGAGUUGCUGGAAUUAUUUCUUGCUUCAAUUCAAUCAGCUAUUUAUGUGCUUUGAAUUU